UAAAUUCGGUUUAAUAGUGACGGUUGCACAUUUACACCGCGCUGUGCUUUUCUUGCUCUGCCCAGCUGCAGUUUGAUUGUGAAACUGAAGUUUGCCAUGGAUGUGUGUUCAGUCAGUUCAGCAUUGAUGACUGCUUUGCGACACCAGCCUGGCAUUGAGACUAACGGCAUCGUCAACAGAACGGCUGUAUGUAGCUGGAAUAAUAAACCAAAUCUGGACUCACUGCAACUGGACAUGCGCGUGUCUGUUAAUUUGAACUCUUCGGACUUCUGUCUGGUGCCAAACUUGGACAACUUGCUGAAUUACUGCGAAAAAGGAGCAGAUUUAGCUGUACUUCUGAAUGAGAGUUGCACCAGUGGUCCGGUUCUGCCCACCAGCCUGCCAUCACCAACAGCAACUGAAGUCACAAGUGCUACCACCGCCAGGAUCAUCACGAACACCACCGAGACAUCUCCAGAUAACACAACCCCACUUCAGAACACUUCACCUACGUUGGUAACUACAGUGGUUAAUGUAACAGCUACCAAAAGUACAGCUGCCCUGAACACCUCCACUCCAGAUGUUCCAGCAAAAUCUACAGCUUCAUACACGAAAGUUACAGCAACAACAGUGAACGCAACAGGUUGGCUUCUGAAACCCACUUAUACUGACAUUCAGUGCAUUUCAGUAUAUGCAAUAU
This is a long non-coding RNA of Pygocentrus nattereri (red-bellied piranha), 679 nucleotides long. NCBI's taxonomy places the organism in Eukaryota, Metazoa, Chordata, Actinopteri, Characiformes, Serrasalmidae. The record is from Ensembl.